AACCGCAAAGAUCUAUACAGAAUAAAUCUAAACG
This 34-nucleotide unclassified non-coding RNA is filed under the name Leishmania tarentolae. RNAcentral's name for it is "gND9XIIIb". Lineage: Eukaryota; Euglenozoa; Kinetoplastea; Trypanosomatida; Trypanosomatidae. The record is from RNAcentral.